RNAcentral lists this ribosomal RNA (494 nucleotides) under uncultured organism. RNAcentral's name for it is "bacterial SSU rRNA". It matches the Rfam family "Bacterial small subunit ribosomal RNA", at positions 29 to 507 of the family's 1533-position model. The record is from RNAcentral.
AACGAACGCUGGCGGCACGCUUCAUACAUGCAAGUCGCGCGAUUAAGGCCCGCAAGGGCGCAUAAAGCGGCGAACGGGUGCGUAACACGUGGAUAAUCUGCCUUUCGGUGGGGGAUAACGGCUGGAAACGGCCGCUAAUACCGCAUGUGGUUGCGAGGUCUUCGGGCCUUGCAAAGAAAGAGGCCUUUAAAGCCUUGCCGAGAGAUGAGUCCGCGCCCCAUUAGCUAGUUGGCGGGAUAACAGCCCACCAAGGCUUCGAUGGGUAGCCGAGCUGAGAGGUUGAUCGGCCACACUGGGACUGAGACACGGCCCAGACACCUACGGGUGGCAGCAGUAGGGAAUAUUGGACAAUGGGGGAAACCCUGAUCCAGCGAUGCCGCGUGGAUGAUGAAGGCCUUCGGGUCGUAAAGUCCUUUUCUGAGGGAAGAACUGUCUGGCGAGGAAAUGCGCUGGAUUUGACGGUACCUCAGGAAUAAGCAACGGCUAACUCCGUG